Drosophila pseudoobscura is the source of this 2712-nucleotide long non-coding RNA. RefSeq lists it as uncharacterized. The transcript has 7 exons. The record is from RefSeq and is a predicted model, not a curated record. Lineage: Eukaryota; Metazoa; Arthropoda; Insecta; Diptera; Drosophilidae.
UUACAUUUGAAUGCAUUUACAAAUAUUUUUAACGGCUGUUAUUUAACAGCUGAACCACUAAUUACACAUGGUUGGGACAUUUAACUUUACAUUACAAGAAAUCAAGACACUCUGGCAACAACGUGCAUUUGUUUACAUUUGCGGACGUAUAUGUAUAUAGGUAUGGACCUCUAUCAUCAGCUCACUGGAUGGAAUUGGGUCUGUACAAGUUGGCUUGAGCAGGUGUCAAAACAAUGGACCCGGUGAUUUCAUCAGGCUGCUGCAACCUCAGGGGAAGUAUAAAGCCGCACCGUAAGUGAGUAAGUAUUUGAUUUUUAUAGAUUGCUUCGCUUAUAUGCUUCCAGAGGGCGUGUCUUUCGGUGUGCGCCUUUCCACCAUUGGCGCACUGGACGGCGGUGAAAUUUCAGGUGACCUGGGAGCGGUCUGAGUAAAUGCCACGUGACGUCAUUGGACUGCUGCAACUGCCAUGGAUCGAGCAUUAGGCCAAUGAGAAGAAGAUUCACCAGUGGCUGCUGUAACUGUCGGACAGGCCUUCGUUGGAUGCUGGAUAUACUGCGGUGCGGAUUUGGCGAGCCAGUCAAAAGGCGAUUCCAGGGACGGAAAUGUGCACCGGCAAUGGACGAGGCCCGUGCAGAAGGGAGCAUUGCAGCCGGCUCGCUGCGCCCAGCCAGAGGAUUCGCAACAGGAUAGCUGGCCACCGGAUGGACUACUCGCCUCCGCUUUCGUCGUGGAUUCACCAGGAGGCCGUCAGUAUCUGUGCCGUUUGCCUGUAGAUAGAAGUUUUGGAGUAGAGAUAGGCUGCUGCAGGCUGCGAAGCGGAUUCGGAGAAGUUGCCAGAGAGUCAUUCCGGAUACGCAGGUCAAUCCCGGCAGUAGGCGAGGCCCUUAUAGAAGAUGGCGUGGGAGGCCGCUCGCUGCAGGCAGCCAUAGGGAUUACAGCAGGAUGGCAGGCCAACGGAUGGACUGCUGGGCGCCAGAUUUGCCUUGGAUGCACCAAGAGGCCGUCAGUAGCUGUGAUAUUUGCCUGUAAAUAAAGGUUUUGGAGUGGCCAUAGCUUUUGGUUGUGCAGCUUCUACACACACAGAUGAGGCUUCCUGGUGCGGAUUUGUGCGGGCUCGGCUUUCUUCGGCGGCAAAUGCUGCGUCCAUCUCGUCGUCGAGUUCCUUCUCAAGCUGCUGCUGCAGGGACUGCAUCUGCUCUUCGAGAAGCUGCUCUGGAGUAGGCGGAGGGAGUUCGUGCGGUUCAAGCGGAGUCAUUAUGAGCCUUUGUAUGUAUUCAGGUUCAAAACGAAUCUUCUGUGCCAUUUCUAAUCGAUUCAUUUCUCCUCUUCUGAGACAUUGCGCCAUACAAUUAACCCAGAUUAUUGAGGGUCUCUCCUGCGGGAUACCAAGGGCUAUGCAACGCUCUUGUUCAAGGCGUUUCCGUUCGACAAGUGCUUCCUUGGCUUGGGACUCCCGGAGUUGGCGCUGUUGUUCAAUUUCAAGCUGCUCGUGCCUGAUUAAAGUUGGCAGCAGUAGUUGUUGUUGUGCUGCCUGCUGCAAGAGUUGUUGUUGGAGAGGCCGAAAAUUUGGAUGGCGAAAUAGUGAAGCUGCUAGUCUGCCGCUGGCUUUAUCAAAGGUUUCUUCUGCAGAGUCAAUGUUGUGUGCAUCUCGGAUAACUUGAUUUCUUGUGUACCUGCUAGCCUUCACGAUUUUCCGUAGGAGUUGGUUCUGUGCGCUUUCUACCCUGCAAAAUUGUGAUUCGCAUACCAAUGCUCCCCAUACAGAUAGCCGGCUCUGAUGACCAAUGAUCCAGUUCAGUCUCAUGGCUGCUGCUCUCACUCGAAUUGCUAACUGGGUGGUAUGGGCAUGUAGCACAAGUUUCCUGUCCAUUAUCAAGCCUAGAUAGCGAUGCCUUGGCUUACUUUUGAUUGCUUCGUUGUACAUUUUUGGCGAUAGCUCACCUAUGCCAUUUGCAAUCGAUCGCCUUGUGUAGAGGACAUGGACCGUUUUGCUGGUAUUAAGGCUGAUGCACCAUUUGGAAGCCCAGGCAGUGAAGUGUUCAAGAUAGCGCUGAUUUGUUCUAACCGCUGUACUGGCUUCUUUUUUAGCACAUAGGAUGAUUGUGUCAUCUGCGUGCGGUAGCGGCAUAUCCGACGUGAAGACUGUGUAGAGUACAGGGCCGAGGACGCUACCCUGGGGCACUCCUGCGCAGAUCCUUCCAGGUCUCGAGCGUAUUCCAUUGUUUCCGUUUACAAUAAAUGUUCUAUCUGCUAAGUAACUUUUUAAAACGUUGUAAUAUGUAAACGGGAGUAGCUUCGCUAGCUUAAGUAGUAGACCAUUAUGCCAAACUCGGUCAAAGGCUUCGCUCACGUCGAUAAAUACAGCAGAACAAAAUAACUGUUUCUCAUAUGCAUCAAGAAUAUACUGUGUAACGCGUGCCAGUUGUUGCUCCGUGCUGUGCUCUCUCCUGAAUCCAAACUGAUGAGAGGGAAUAGCCUUCUCAAAGUCUUCGCAUUCAAACAUCCUUUUCAUGAGCAAGGUUUCAAAGAUUUUAGAGAAGCCAGCCAAAAGGCUAAUCGGUCGAUAAGAGCCAACUUCAUUUGCAUUUUUGCUCGGUUUUUUAAUCAUUGUAAUAGCAGCACAUUUCCAUUGUUUGGGGAAAUGGCCAUGUCUCAAGAUGCAAUUGUAAAUAUUUGUCAAAUGAAUAAUUACCUUUUGAGGUAGCGCUUUAA